GGCUCGUUGGUCAAGCGGUUAAGACACCGCCCUUUCACGGCGGUAACACCAGUUCAAAUCUGGUACGAGUCACCA
RNAcentral lists this transfer RNA (75 nucleotides) under Clostridia bacterium. RNAcentral describes it as "tRNA-Glu". It matches the Rfam family "tRNA". Rfam says of the family: Transfer RNA (tRNA) molecules are approximately 80 nucleotides in length. The record is from RNAcentral. Lineage: Bacteria; Bacillati; Bacillota; Clostridia.